RNAcentral lists this ribosomal RNA (341 nucleotides) under uncultured bacterium. RNAcentral's name for it is "bacterial SSU rRNA". It matches the Rfam family "Bacterial small subunit ribosomal RNA", at positions 8 to 349 of the family's 1533-position model. The record is from RNAcentral.
AGAGUUUGAUCCUGGCUCAGGAUGAACGCUAGCUACAGGCUUAACACAUGCAAGUCGAGGGGCAGCAUGACCUAGCAAUAGGUUGAUGGCGACCGGCGCACGGGUGAGUAACACGUAUCCAACCUACCGGUUAUUCCGGGAUAGCCUUUCGAAAGAAAGAUUAAUACCGGAUAGUAUAACGAGAAGGCAUCUUCUUGUAUUAAAGAAUUUCGAUAACCGAUGGGGAUGCGUUCCAUUAGUUGUUGGCGGGUAACGCCCACAAGACAUCGAUGGAUAGGGGUUCUGAGAGGAAGGUCCCCCCACAUUGGAACUGAGACACGGUCCAAACUCCUACGGGAGCA